This is a long non-coding RNA of Pseudopipra pipra, 5187 nucleotides long. RefSeq lists it as uncharacterized. The record is from RefSeq and is a predicted model, not a curated record. NCBI's taxonomy places the organism in Eukaryota, Metazoa, Chordata, Aves, Passeriformes, Pipridae. The transcript has 3 exons.
GGGAACACUCCCUGCCCUUCCUUUAAAAGCCCCUGGGCCCUUUGCCCUUGCAAAAGCCCUUGCAUCCACCCAGCGCCUUUUGCAUGUCACAGACCUCAGCUGUUUUCAGAUCUACUGCAGUCUAGAUGCUUUUACUUGAAAGGAGGCUCAGGCAGCUUUUGGACAGAAGGAAGAAGAUUGCCUACCAAAUCUUGCACCGAACCAACAGCAUAUGAAGAUAAGAACUCCACAACUCCAGGAAGGAGACAACUGAGUGGGAAGGCUAGGUAGUGCAGAGGAUGCCAGACUAGUAUUAUAAAUGUUGCAGUAUUUUUCAUGCUUAUUAACUCUCCUAUCACAAAUAUUUAAAAUCAUGGUUGACAUACUCUGUCUAAUUUGUUUUGAGCAGACCUAUUCAUGUAUUCAUAGCCUUAAGGGUGAUGAAAUUAUUAAUUUAUUACUCUAAUCCUCUCUCAAUAUUUGUACUCUUUUUUUUGAUUAAGCUAGGGCAUUUAUCAGUAAAAUUAUAUUGGCACAGCUUCUAGAGUAGACAUAUUUAUAUGAGUACAAAAGUAUCUUAUAGUGGUUAAAUCCCUACUUAUACAGAAAUAGGUAUACAAGUAUGACUACAUCCAGACAAUAAUAUCACUUCAACUAAAUCCUCAUAAAUAGCCCAAGUUUACUGUUCAGACAAAGCCUUAGCCUCCCUUUCAAAUCACUUUGCCAAGUAGCUGUCAUUAUUUUAUGCUGUGAACAAUCAUGAAUUUGCUUGAAACCACCAAAGCAAACUCUUUUGAGGCAAGUGGGUAAUAUUCCAUUCUAGAUUGAACUCAAACCAGCGAUCAAAGACAAGAAUGCCAGGGCAUUGCCAAUUUUCUGAGCCAUCCAGUAACCAUUACCUUGUGUUGUCUGAUUUGCAUGAUAAUUGUAAAAUAAGAGGUUGUGUGAUUUCACUCACUUCCCAAUAUCUUUCCAUACUUUUGGACUGUUUUUUUUUUUUUUUUCGUAAAUGCUUAUUAACAUCUUCUUAUUUCCAGCUCAGUGCAGGCUUUACGUUUUUACACUGUAAUAUUCAGUAAGGCGCCAUCCUUAGAGGAAAACGGAAAUGGUGAAAUCCCUCGGGACGUCGCUCGCAGGCGGGUUCCGCGCUCCAUCCCUCGGGGUCCCGCCGCGGGUCCCGCUCCCACCGCCUGCGCUCGCGUGCCUCGCCACCUACCGGCCACCCGUGGUACCGCCGCGGGGAGCUCGUCAGCUCGGAGGCGUCGUAAGGCCCGAGGCUUUUCUCAAUAUUUAUCAGUGAUCGCUCUGUUUUUACAAAGCCUUAGGCACACAGGGAGCAUGUGAUAUGCCAGCCUACUGUGGUAUUUUUAAUGUGAAAACACAACAAUUCGUGAUAAGAAGUCACAGUGAUGGUUGAGAAGAUAUACCAGCCAUUCCGGCAUCUUUGUUGCUGAGAUAGUCAUCUCUUGUAAAAGGGCCUUUGAGGACAAUGAUUUCUCAAACAUGGACCCAUAGUUGCCGGAACUUUUUUGCAGGCACUCAACUCAUCUACAUCUGCUCUGUAAACAGCUGUUCAGUAAGAAAACAAUUUCCCUUGGAUGAAGAUGACACCGACUUUUACUCCUCAGCAAAAAUAACUGGGACAACAGAGGAAAUUUUAAUUUAAAAAGAACUUUUCCUUUUAAGUGACAUCUUUGUAUAGGUGGAAAUUAUUUCUGCCAGUGCACUCACAAGUCAAUUUUCAAGCAUUGAUUUAAUAAUAAGAAGUAGCACACUGUCUAAAAGUAAAUGUUUAAUAUAUAUCUAUCAUCUAUGCACAAAUGCCUUCACUCAUGAGUCAUAGGAAGAGUCAUCAUUAGAGGAUAAUCACAAAGGCUUAAAGAAAGGCUGUAUUAACUCAUUCUUCUUACAACAGCACAAAAAGAGCUGUUGCUCAGACCUGAAGGGGAUCAAAGAUUUUAAAUGCAUACAGGUUUGAUUUAUGAAGCAACCAAGAAAAUCCAACUCGUUUCUGUUAUUCACUAAUCACUAAAAGAUAUAACCUUAUUUUUAUUGCUUCCAAAUACCACUGAUUAAGAAUUUACACAAGGUAUCUGACCUCAAUUGCAAUGAUUACUGUCUGCUUCACAGUGUUUACUGCAUUUAAAUUCACAGUGUUCUUGUGAGAUAAAAAAGUGCAAUUGUUCACACAAAUGAAGAGCUAGUAGAUUUUAAGAUGAAUGACAAAAUUCUAAAAAUUAUUUAGAUGGCUUGAAUCCUACUGAUUUCAAGGAGCUGAAAUUUAUUUUUCAAGGGUAUGUGUCAGAAGUGAUGGGCAGGAUUCAUCUCACUUAACUUUAAACUGUCUAAGCAAUUUGUCAGCUCUCCCUCUACCAAAAUGCAGGGCUACAGAUCUCUAGAGUACAAUUCAUUCUUUCCCCAUGCAGGAUCUAAGCCAGAUGAUUGAAUAAAUCUUUGGAAUAAUUUUAUUCUCCACUGAUUACAUAAAAAACCUAAAUGGCUGGCAUAAAAUGUACAUUGAGCAUAGUCAAAUGGAAGUGAAAAGAAACCUACCUGGUGGAUACCAGAGAAGUUUUAGACCACUUUAAUGUCCAUUCCAAAUUAACAUGAGGGGUUUUCAGCCGUUGUAACUUGCUUCCACUGUACCUAAACUGAAAAAGUCAUACUGGCAGGGAGACUGCUGAGCCAUGGAAAUAGGAUGUACUUCUCCUCCUAAGAAGGAAUUGUCAUAAUAAGCCUCAGAGGACUUGCAAGAUUUAUAAUUGUCUAGGUCUUCCGUUGUGAGUCUAGCCACCUUAUGGCUCAAAGCUCUAGAGUUAAGUUGCUCAAUGUUGGAGCAGCCUAUAUUCAUCCUUGUUUGCAGUGGGAGUUAAUUUCUUAGAUAUGAAUAUUUCAAGCAUUUGAAACCCUUUAAUUCUCAUGUUAUUUUAAAAUUCUUUCCCUCAAGGUUUUUAACACUGGACAACCACUAGGAAACAUGUAAAAUGAGUACUUUUUGUUUUAGUCCUGUUUUAAUGUCUGGGUGUUUGCAAAAUUAAAAAGAUAACAUUACAAUAGAUAAUGACAGUUGUAAUUACUUGUAGUCUCAAUAUAGACUUCUAUUGGGAAAAUAUGUCUUACUUUACUAGAUUUUCCCUCUAGCAUACAAUCAUAACUGGAUAGGAAAAUCAGACUCAGUGCAACAAUUCAGCAAAUAAAUUGAGGACUUCACUUUCCAGGCCUCACAUACUUGACAUUCUGGUACUUCAAAGAAACUUGAAAAAUUAAAGAAUGGAAUGUUAUUGGCAACAUCAUCUACUGCUCACUAAAGGUCAUGUGUAGAUUCAUAAAACGGAAGGGUUUUCUUUAUAACAACAACAAAAAAAUCUAUAUUUCAUUACAGUUGCACACUGUGGUGUGACUGAUUGGUUGUUGCAGAGCUAAUAAAAAAGAUGACUACUUGCAGCUGAUAACAUAUCCUAUUUCCAUUUAAUUUGAUGGUUUUCUGCUAGGCUGUUGGGAACCUGUAAUCACAAAACAUUGAAGAUUCAGCUAUUUCGAAGCUUGGUUGCAAUUUCUACUGUUUUCUGACUACUUAGCCUUACUUAGAAAUAUAACCUCUUACUAUUUGUUAUGAAGAUAGUCAUUAAAGUAUACACUAACACUGUCAUAUGUAAAAUUCACUAUCUCCAACCAAACAUAUGAGAAUAUGUACUACCUUUUUAUGCCAGAGAUAAUUAUAAUUUUUAAUUUUUUUAUUGGUGCCUAAUUACUCUAGGAAUGUACUAUUAAUAAACAAAAAGGACAGUUUCUGCCUUAAAGGACUUCCAAGUACCAGCUAGAGGCAAAAAAAUCAAAGAAAGUAAGGGCAAUUUUUGCACAAGGGCAGAAUUGGGACAGAUCAUUUCCACAAAGAAUUUGUACAUUAAAACCUUACUUAUUGUUUUAACCUAUUUUUAAUACAGAACCUGGGACCAGGUUCUGUAAAUCAAUGGUAGAUACAAUUUUAAAAACCAACGUGUUAAACUAACAAUUACUUGGAAAUUCAGUGGUCCCAAAGUUUCUGGGGGGUAAACGUAGCCAGAUAUACCUCAUUUAGCUGCACAAAUACAACAGAUAUCAGAAAACCAUAAUGGCUUCCUAUAUAGCUGUUGUCAGAUGGCAGAAAGGGCCUAACAACAAAGCCAAAUAAAUGUUAUUUUAAUUGUUUAUUCUAUGACAAUUUAAAUAUGGACACGAAACGUAAUGCAUAAAUAUUUCUAGAUAUUUUUUUCUCCUCAACCUAAAACCAGGGGACACAAAUUUCCAUCAUGAUAUAGGAAUCAUUAGAUCUAUACACAGUCUCAAAAUGCCAAAGCUAACCAUGUGAUUGUGUUCCUGAGCUGGUCUCAUAUUAGUUGGGUGCUUUUUUACUUUCUCAGCUUAAGAUAUCCUCCCGCUGAGGAGGAAGGAUUUGGCAGAAACAACACUUGAUGAACUGACCACAACCCAUGAAGUUGAGCCUGGGAAGAAGGGAAGAUGGGAAAAGGGCAUUUUCAAUUUUCUUUCUUGUUAUUCUACUCUUAUAUAAUUGUUAAUAAAUUAGAAUAAUUUCCCCAAGUCGAGUCUGUUUUACCAUGGUAGUAAUUGGUGAGCAAUCUCUCCGUGCCCUUAUUUAAAUGCAGGAGCCUUCCCUUAUACUUUCUCUCCCCUGUCCAUCUGAGAAGGGAAGUGAUGGAACAGCUUUGGUGAGCACCUGGAGUCCAACCAGGGUCAACCUGCCACAGUUGUUGUGAUCAUUUUGUUGUAUAUAAAUACUCACAUCUUGAAACAGAAGAGGAAGGCAUCAGAGCUGGUGAAAGAUCUGAAAGGCAUAUCCUAUGAGGAGAAGCUCAAUACUUUGGGCUUGUCUAAUGUGGAGAAAAGGAGGCUGUGAGGCAAAACCUCAUUGCUCUCUACAGCUUCCUGAAGAGGGGAAGUGGAGACUAAGGAACUGAGCUCUUUUCCCUGGUAUCCGGUGGCAGGAGGUGUGGGAAUGGUUCAUCACUGUGCCAGGGGAGAUUCAGAUUAGACAUUUGGAAGCAUUUCUUUACCAAGAGGGUGGUCAAACACUUCUUAAAACUUCUUGAAAAGGUGUCAGUGCCCCAAGCCUGUCAGUGUUUAAGAUGCAUUUGGACAAUGUCCAUAAUAAUAGCCCUGAAUCAAUCAGGCAGUUGGAUUAGACAAUUCUGUAGAUCCCCUCCAACUGAA